ACAAAAAACUUUUCUCAAAUAACAUUUAAAGUCAAAAAUAUUGCAAAAAAAAAUUUUGCGAUUUAAUUAAAUUACAAAUUAAUAUUAGGCUCACCCUAAUACAAACACUUGUACUCACCUAGAUACAUUCAACUGUUUAUUAACCCUUAUCAACAUGCCUAUACAUACCAUAUAAAAACUAAAACUUUUACAUUUUCCUGCUAACAACUGUUAAUUAACAGCGUCUAUGUGUUAACUUUACAGGCACACGACAAACACGUGCCACCCGUGGCUGUGGGAGUUCAGCGCAAGUGAACACUCACGGCUCGCAGCGCCACUUGCCAAUGUUGUUGUAAUCACUGGUGUACAUAAAGGAUUACUGUUAACUUAACAGCUCUGCUAUACACACACUUAACAGUGCCUGACAGCAGCUGAGCGCCAACAAAAGCAAACAUGCAGACUUCAUCGUGCAAAUCGCCGCCUUGCUGCUUUCGCCGGCCCACACAAAUACAAAACCAUGCGAAACGAGCGUUUUGGCAUCAGUUUUCCAUGGCAUUUAAAGCGGCGCGGACGUGUUCGACGCAGCUACAACGUAGCGCUAGAAACGUGUAACAACAACAUAUGUACAUAUGUAAACGGUAUAUUCAUAUAUUGUACAUACAGUUGUGUUGUAGGUGUGUACGUGUGCUUUUGAAUAACGGUGCAAUCGCGUGUUUGAAAGUGUCGCCGCGGACGCGGAAAUUGUUGAUAAAUAUUAUUAGAAAUUGUAAAUAAAAGUGAAUUUUGUUUGUGUUUUUUUGUUGUUAUCGUUGUUGUUGUGCAAUCGGCGGCGUGUUUACAAAGUGUCAGUGUCAUUUAUGCAGUGCAGUUGUUGCGGUUUUAUCUGACAUUUCAUUAAAUAUAAAUAAAUAAAUAAUUUGUUGCUUGUCUGUGUGCCGGGGAGAGUGCUUAAGCGCUUUAAAAGUUGCAUAAAUUAUAUUUAUUGCUUCAUUUCUACAUAAAAUAAUUAGCGUAAAAAAUAUGAAUAAAAAUAUGCUGGAAAUCUCACACGCUACAUCCCACUUGUCAACGGCAAGGCCGAACAGACACACACAAACGACAUUUUCAUUUUGCCCACCGUCAUCAACGCCUUAAAACCAACGCACGACAACAAUUAAAUGUAUAAAUAUACUUAAAUAGAAGAGCAAAAAAACAACAACAAAAAGAAAAAAACAGCAACAAGAAAAAAGAAAGAAACACAAGCACAGCUAUGACAAAUGACAAAAACAACAACAACAGGUAAAAAAAAAAUAAAAAAGGUAAACCAAACAACAAUAAUGCGAAUGUUUAGCAAUUUUUGAGUGGAAAUUGUGUAAAAAUAGCUGCAGCAAGCAACAGCAUUAAACAGCCGCAUUGGAAACGGAAAAAAUGUGAAGCUGCUGAGAAUUAUGAAAAAUCUGCUUUUGCAAGCAAUGCCGCGGUGCGUGUGUGUGUGUGUUUUCGCCUGCUGUUCUGCUGCAUAGUUUAUAGCCGCACCAUAUGUGUUGUGUAAAUUGUUGUUUUGUUGUUGUUGUAAGAAAAGUAAAAAAUAGAAAAAGUGGCAAGAAUUGCACGCCAAAUGUUGGAGAAAUACAAGCACACAUUGCGACGCGUGUGUUUUUUGUAUUUAUUUUGAUUAAAUGCAAAGCGUUCAAUGUAGCGAUGUAGCGCGAACAUUCAUAAAUAUUUCGUCGUCGUCAACUUUGUGUGUGCGUGGGAAUUUCGUUGAAGUACCCAAUUCAUAGGCUAAGAAAGCAAAAAAAAAAAAAUUCACUCAAGCAUUUUUGUGUUGAAAAUUGUCUGCGGCGCGACUACAUACAUACAUUCAUGUACAUAUGUAUAUACAGGCAGACAGCCAGCCGUUGGACAACAGUUGGAAAGCCGACAAUAAAUACUUCCAACGCAACACUGAAUAAUUAAUGAGUUAAAUACCGCAAAGUGAGUGAUUGACACAAAUAUGGCAAAGUGAUUAUCUACCGGAAUGACAAGAGUUAAAUUGCCGCGUCAAUGCGUUAAAUAAAAAAUUAAUUUUAAAUUUACUUUGUGUAUGGGUAUAUAUAGUAUAUAUAAUUCAGCUUAUAUAUUAAUAGUUAAUGACAUAUGGAUUGGACGACAUGAGUGGCUAAAGCUGUGUAUAUAUGUAUGAUUUUCAUAUACAUAUGUAUAUGUUUGUUUCGACAUAAUUGUAUACAAAAUAUCCAUCGUGUUGUGGGUUGCUGGCUUCAAACACUUUAAUCCACUUGUAUUAUUUAAAUACAUAUAAAAACAACAACAAAAUAAUAAAACAUAAAAAAAUCACAUUUUUUUCUAUCAAAAAUGUCAAUUAAAUAUAUAGUAGUGUUGGCUUUUUCGCGUCCAAAGUGUCAGAGUCCUCUGACAUGUGGCGGAAUGCUAUUAAAAUUGUAAGCCGACCAUAAUUGAAACUAUGUUUUUGUAUUCUACAUACAAUUUACAAAAACCACAUGCAUUUAAGUGUUCGCAAAAAUGUACUUUAGUAACUACAAUGUGUGGGAAAAUUGAAGGAUAACAGUGAAAUAUAUUUCAAGUGGUUCAUGACGCAAUUAAAUUUGGUUGAGUG
This is a long non-coding RNA of Zeugodacus cucurbitae (melon fly), 2575 nucleotides long. RefSeq lists it as uncharacterized. The transcript is spliced from 3 exons. The record is from RefSeq and is a predicted model, not a curated record. NCBI's taxonomy places the organism in Eukaryota, Metazoa, Arthropoda, Insecta, Diptera, Tephritidae.